This is a long non-coding RNA of Malaclemys terrapin pileata, 782 nucleotides long. RefSeq lists it as uncharacterized. The record is from RefSeq and is a predicted model, not a curated record. Lineage: Eukaryota; Metazoa; Chordata; Testudines; Emydidae. The transcript is spliced from 4 exons.
GUCCUCAGAGCCUUCAAGAGGUCUCAGGCAACCAGGACCUUGCAGGAUCAAGCCCCCAUGGACUGAACGAACACUCAGUUUUCUCAUCUAUGAAAUGGGGACAAUGAUACCUACCCUCCUUUAUAAAACACUGAAAUCUAUGGAUGAAAAACUCUAUCAGAGCGAAGUAUUAUUUUUAUAUGGAUGAACUGUUACUUUCCAAAAUAUUUUCAGAGGUUAAACUUUUAAUCCUGCUCUAACACAGCAACUGACAUCCCUCCAUUCUAAUGAGACUGUCUCCUGAACCCCAGCUGGAGAUGAUUCUCAAAGAAGAGGAAGAGGUACAAGAAUGGGGAACAGAUGCCCCAAAAUUUCCUCCCUUUCUCAAUCCAUGGCAGCCACAACAUCUGAGGGGGGGAAAGUAAUAGCUUUGGACUGAUGGAGGGAUCCUGUCUGAAAGGAAUUCUGCCAGUAGGACUACUGAAGCAUGUGCUGUUCCAGGCCAUCCCCAAGUCCCAUGCUCAGGUGUCACCUUCAGCUGCCCACACAGACUCCACUCCAAAGAGAGACUGCAGAGCUAGAAUUGAUAUGCAAACUAGACACAAUCAACUCCGGUUUGAAUAAGGACUGGGAAUGGCUGAGCCAUUACAAACAUUGACUCUAUCUCCCCUUGUAAGUACUCUCACACCUAUUAUCAAACUGUCUGUACUGGCCUAGCUUGAUUAUCACUUCAAAAGUUUUUUUUUUUUUCUUAAUUAAUUGGCCUCUCAGAGUUGGUAAGACAACUCCCACCUGUUUAUGCU